AUGAACGCUGGCGGCGUGCCUAAUCCAUGCAAGUCGAGCGAACAGACGAGGAGCUUGCUCCUCUGACGUUAGCGGCGGACGGGUGAGUAACACGUGGAUAACCUACCUAUAAGACUGGGAUAACUUCGGGAAACCGGAGCUAAUACCGGAUAAUAUAUUGAACCGCAUGGUUCAAUAGUGAAAGACGGUUUUGCUGUCACUUAUAGAUGGAUCCGCGCCGCAUUAGCUAGUUGGUGAGGUAACGGCUUACCAAGGCAACGAUGCGUAGCCGACCUGAGAGGGUGAUCGGCCACACUGGAACUGAGACACGGUCCAGACUCCUACGGGAGGCAGCAGUAGGGAAUCUUCCGCAAUGGGCGAAAGCCUGACGGAGCAACGCCGCGUGAGUGAUGAAGGUCUUCGGAUCGUAAAACUCUGUUAUUAGGGAAGAACAAAUGUGUAAGUAACUAUGCACGUCUUGACGGUACCUAAUCAGAAAGCCACGGCUAACUACGUG
RNAcentral lists this ribosomal RNA (496 nucleotides) under uncultured bacterium. RNAcentral's name for it is "partial 16S ribosomal RNA". It matches the Rfam family "Bacterial small subunit ribosomal RNA", at positions 29 to 507 of the family's 1533-position model. The record is from RNAcentral.